AGUUGCCAUCAUUGAGUUGGGCACUCUAAAGAGACUGCCGGUGGUCAAACCGGAGGAAGGUGGGGAUGACGUCAAGUCCUCAUGGCCUUUAUGACCAGGGCUACACACGUACUACAAUGGCCGGUACAAAGGGCAGCGACACAGCGAUGUGAAGCCAAUCCCGAAAAGCCGGUCUCAGUCCGGAUUGGAGUCUGCAACUCGACUCCAUGAAGUUGGAAUCGCUAGUAAUCGCGGAUCAGCACGCCGCGGUGAAUACGUUCCCGGGCCUU
This 269-nucleotide ribosomal RNA is filed under the name uncultured Desulfocapsa sp. RNAcentral's name for it is "partial 16S ribosomal RNA". It matches the Rfam family "Bacterial small subunit ribosomal RNA", at positions 1113 to 1382 of the family's 1533-position model. The record is from RNAcentral. Lineage: Bacteria; Pseudomonadati; Thermodesulfobacteriota; Desulfobulbia; Desulfobulbales; Desulfocapsaceae.